RNAcentral lists this small nuclear RNA (144 nucleotides) under Eptatretus burgeri (inshore hagfish). RNAcentral's name for it is "U1 spliceosomal RNA (ENSEBUG00000000129.1)". It matches the Rfam family "U1 spliceosomal RNA". From Rfam's summary of the family: U1 is a small nuclear RNA (snRNA) component of the spliceosome (involved in pre-mRNA splicing). Its 5' end forms complementary base pairs with the 5' splice junction, thus defining the 5' donor site of an intron. Lineage: Eukaryota; Metazoa; Chordata; Myxini; Myxiniformes; Myxinidae. The record is from Rfam by way of RNAcentral.
AUACUUACCUGAUAGGAGAGAUACUGUGAUCAUUAAGACAGUAUUCUCAGGGCGAGGCCUACCCAUUGCACUUCAGGGGAGGGAGGUUGACCCUUGCGAUUUUUCCCAAAUGUGGGAAACUCGACUGUACAAUUUGAGGAGUGC